AUUGAACGCUGGCGGAAUGCUUUACACAUGCAAGUCGAACGGCAGCACGGACUUCGGUCUGGUGGCGAGUGGCGAACGGGUGAGUAAUACAUCGGAACGUGCCCGGACGUGGGGGAUAACUACUCGAAAGAGUGGCUAAUACCGCAUACGAUCCAAGGAUGAAAGCGGGGGAUCGCAAGACCUCGCGCGUUUGGAGCGGCCGAUGGCAGAUUAGGUAGUUGGUGAGGUAAAGGCUUACCAAGCCUGCGAUCUGUAGCUGGUCUGAGAGGAUGAUCAGCCACACUGGGACUGAGACACGGCCCAGACUCCUACGGGAGGCAGCAGUGGGGAAUUUUGGACAAUGGGCGAAAGCCUGAUCCAGCCAUUCCGCGUGCAGGAUGAAGGCCCUCGGGUUGUAAACUGCUUUUGUACGGAACGAAAAGGCUCUUGCUAAUACCAGGAGUCCAUGACGGUACCGUAAGAAUAAGCACCGGCUAACUACGUGCCAGCAGCCGC
This 495-nucleotide ribosomal RNA is filed under the name uncultured bacterium. RNAcentral's name for it is "bacterial SSU rRNA". It matches the Rfam family "Bacterial small subunit ribosomal RNA", at positions 30 to 518 of the family's 1533-position model. The record is from RNAcentral.